This is a long non-coding RNA of Lycium barbarum (goji berry), 528 nucleotides long. RefSeq lists it as uncharacterized. The transcript is spliced from 3 exons. The record is from RefSeq and is a predicted model, not a curated record. NCBI's taxonomy places the organism in Eukaryota, Viridiplantae, Streptophyta, Magnoliopsida, Solanales, Solanaceae.
GGCCGGCCAUACAAUGGCCCAAGCCCAUGGAUUCUAAUUAAUUUCCAUGUGAUAAUUAAAUAAAAGGGGUCAUUUAGUUGUCUUGAAACAUAUAGAAGUUUCAAGAACAUUAGAAGAGGAGAAAAACAAAACAAAUGAAGAGCAAAGGAGACAUGGCAUACGGCCAUGCUCUCCAAUUUUUGUCCCUUUGAAAUCUUCUCCCAAAAAUUAUUUUCUUGUGGUAUUCCUACUAAUUCAAGGGUCCUUUACAACUUGGUGUAAUUAUUUUGGAAGAAAGAACACUUGUUUCUUCAAGUUGACAACUUGGUCAAGUGAAGAAGAUUGUAGAAAAAGAUUUUGGCGAACUUGAAACUUGAUUUUGGAGACGUGUAUGAAGCGGAAAAGGUCAGCAGACAGGUGGACUUGAUCCUUAGGAGCUCUACCAGCGGUACUCUACAGUGCUCCAGUUGUUCCGGAGCCUCACUUCCGCGGUACUAUUUUGUGUAUGUAUAUUCGGGCACAGCAGUACCCGGCCCUUUCUAUGUAUAA